AGCGACCGCUUUUGGAGUUCGAUUAAGCCAUGCGAGUAGAAAGAAAUUAGAUUCUUUGCGAACUGCUCAGUAACACGUGGAUAACCUGCCCUAUGCUCUGGAAUAACCUCGGGAAACUGAGAAUAAUACCGGAUAGAUCACAACGCCUGGAACGGUGUGUGGUUGAAAGAUUACGGCAUAGGAUGGGUCUGCGGCGUAUCAGGUUGUAGGGGGUGUAACGGACCUCCUAGCCAUCGACGCGUACGGGUGUUGGGAGACAUAGCCCGGAGAUGGAUUCUGGGACACGAAUCCAGACCCUACGGGGUGCAGCAGGCGCGAAAACUUCACACUGCAGGAAACUGUGAUGAGGGAACUCCAAGUGCGUGCACUUAGUGUGCGCUUUUGUUGACUAUUAAUCGGUCAAUGAAUAAGGGCUGGGAAAGACCGGUGCCAGCCGCCGCGGUAAUACCGGCAUCUCAAGUGGUCGUCGCUUUUAUUGGGCCUAAAACGUCCGUAGCCUGUUUGGUAAAUCUGUGGGUAAAUCAACGAGCUUAACUCGUUGGAUUCUGCAGAGACUGCCAGACUAGGGACCGGGAGAGGUGUGAGGUACUCUGGGGGUAGGGGUAAAAUCCUGUCAUCCUCAGAGGACCACCUGUUGCGAAGGCGUCACACUGGAACGGAUCCGACGGUCAGGGACGAAGCCUAGGGGCACGAACCGGAUUAGAUACCCGGGUAGUCCUAGGUGUAAACGCUGUGGAUUUGGUGUGUGGGGUCCGCAAUGGGCCCCAUGUGCCGGAGUGAAGAUGUUAAGUUCACUGCCUGGGGAGUACGGUCGCAAGGCUGAAACUUAAAGGAAUUGGCGGGGGAGCACUGCAACGGGAGGAGCGUGCGGUUU
RNAcentral lists this ribosomal RNA (874 nucleotides) under uncultured euryarchaeote. RNAcentral's name for it is "bacterial SSU rRNA". It matches the Rfam family "Archaeal small subunit ribosomal RNA", at positions 21 to 903 of the family's 1478-position model. The record is from RNAcentral. Lineage: Archaea; Methanobacteriati; Methanobacteriota.